AGUGGACGCUGGCGGUAGGCCUAACACAUGCAAGUCGAACGGCAGCACAGUAAGAGCUUGCUCUUACGGGUGGCGAGUGGCGGACGGGUGAGGAAUACAUCGGAAUCUACCUUUUCGUGGGGGAUAACGUAGGGAAACUUACGCUAAUACCGCAUACGACCUACGGGUGAAAGCAGGGGAUCUUCGGACCUUGCGCGAUUGAAUGAGCCGAUGUCGGAUUAGCUAGUUGGCGGGGUAAAGGCCCACCAAGGCGACGAUCCGUAGCUGGUCUGAGAGGAUGAUCAGCCACACUGGAACUGAGACACGGUCCAGACUCCUACGGGAGGCAGCAGUGGGGAAUAUUGGACAAUGGGCGCAAGCCUGAUCCAGCCAUACCGCGUGGGUGAAGAAGGCCUUCGGGUUGUAAAGCCCUUUUGUUGGGAAAGAAAAGCAGCAGGUUAAUACCCCGCUGUUCUGACGGUACCCAAAGAAUAAGCACCGGCUAACUUCGUG
This 492-nucleotide ribosomal RNA is filed under the name uncultured bacterium. Its description in RNAcentral is "partial 16S ribosomal RNA". It matches the Rfam family "Bacterial small subunit ribosomal RNA", at positions 29 to 507 of the family's 1533-position model. The record is from RNAcentral.